RNAcentral lists this transfer RNA (68 nucleotides) under Hemiselmis tepida. It matches the Rfam family "tRNA". Rfam says of the family: Transfer RNA (tRNA) molecules are approximately 80 nucleotides in length. Their secondary structure includes four short double-helical elements and three loops (D, anti-codon, and T loops). The record is from RNAcentral. Lineage: Eukaryota; Cryptophyceae; Cryptomonadales; Hemiselmidaceae.
AAAAUAGCUCAACUGGCUAGAGUGUAACUUUGCCAAAGUUAAAGUUGGAGGUUCAAAUCCUCUUUUUC